RNAcentral lists this ribosomal RNA (531 nucleotides) under fungal sp. UFMGCB 2550. Its description in RNAcentral is "eukaryotic LSU rRNA". The stretch from base 164 to 317 matches the Rfam family "5.8S ribosomal RNA". The record is from RNAcentral. Lineage: Eukaryota; Fungi.
AUUAAGAGUCAUGCCCUUACCGGGUAGAUCUCCCACCCUUGAAUAUACUACCUCUUGUUGCUUUGGCGGGCCGCUUCGUCCACCGGCUUCGGCUGGUGAGUGCCCGCCAGAGGACCCUAAACUCUGAAUUAUAGUGUCGUCUGAGUACUAUACAAUAGUUAANAACUUUCAACAACGGAUCUCUUGGUUCUGGCAUCGAUGAAGAACGCAGCGAAAUGCGAUAAGUAAUGUGAAUUGCAGAAUUCAGUGAAUCAUCGAAUCUUUGAACGCACAUUGCGCCCCUUGGUAUUCCGGGGGGCAUGCCUGUUCGAGCGUCAUUAUAACCCUCAAGCUCAGCUUGGUGUUGGGGCAUGCCAGUAGGCAGCUCUUAAAAUCAGUGGCAGUGCCCUCUGGCUCUAAGCGUAGUCAAUUCUUCUCGCUAUAGGGUCCGGACGGUGCUCGCGCCAGAACCCCCAAUUUUCUAUGGUUGACCUCGGCAUCAGGUAGGGAUACCCGCUGAACUUAAGUCAUAAUCAAUAAGCGGGAAAGGAA